GAACCAGUACCGUGAGGGAAAGGUGAAAAGCACCCCGGAAGGGGAGUGAAAUAGAACCUGAAACCGUGUGCUUACAAGUAGUCAGAGCCCGUUAAUGGGUGAUGGCGUGCCUUUUGUAGAAUGAACCGGCGAGUUACGAUUUGAUGCAAGGUUAAGCAGUAAAUGUGGAGCCGUAGCGAAAGCGAGUCUGAAUAGGGCGUUUAGUAUUUGGUCGUAGACCCGAAACCAGGUGAUCUACCCUUGGUCAGGUUGAAGUUCAGGUAACACUGAAUGGAGGACCGAACCGACUUACGUUGAAAAGUGAGCGGAUGAACUGAGGGUAGCGGAGAAAUUCCAAUCGAACCUGGAGAUAGCUGGUUCUCUCCGAAAUAGCUUUAGGGCUAGCCUCAAGUGAUGAUUAUUGGAGGUAUAGCACUGUUUGGACGAGGGGCCCCUCUCGGGUUACCGAAUUCAGACAAACUCCGAAUGCCAAUUAAUUU
Molecule: ribosomal RNA, 479 nt
Filed under: Staphylococcus aureus
Lineage: Bacteria; Bacillati; Bacillota; Bacilli; Caryophanales; Staphylococcaceae
Description: partial 23S ribosomal RNA
Rfam family: Bacterial large subunit ribosomal RNA
Source: RNAcentral